This 1211-nucleotide ribosomal RNA is filed under the name Escherichia coli. Its description in RNAcentral is "partial 23S ribosomal RNA". It matches the Rfam family "Bacterial large subunit ribosomal RNA", at positions 1 to 1252 of the family's 2925-position model. Lineage: Bacteria; Pseudomonadati; Pseudomonadota; Gammaproteobacteria; Enterobacterales; Enterobacteriaceae. The record is from RNAcentral.
GGUUAAGCGACUAAGCGUACACGGUGGAUGCCCUGGCAGUCAGAGGCGAUGAAGGACGUGCUAAUCUGCGAUAAGCGUCGGUAAGGUGAUAUGAACCGUUAUAACCGGCGAUUUCCGAAUGGGGAAACCCAGUGUGUUUCGACACACUAUCAUUAACUGAAUCCAUAGGUUAAUGAGGCGAACCGGGGGAACUGAAACAUCUAAGUACCCCGAGGAAAAGAAAUCAACCGAGAUUCCCCCAGUAGCGGCGAGCGAACGGGGAGCAGCCCAGAGCCUGAAUCAGUGUGUGUGUUAGUGGAAGCGUCUGGAAAGGCGCGCGAUACAGGGUGACAGCCCCGUACACAAAAAUGCACAUGCUGUGAGCUCGAUGAGUAGGGCGGGACACGUGGUAUCCUGUCUGAAUAUGGGGGGACCAUCCUCCAAGGCUAAAUACUCCUGACUGACCGAUAGUGAACCAGUACCGUGAGGGAAAGGCGAAAAGAACCCCGGCGAGGGGAGUGAAAAAGAACCUGAAACCGUGUACGUACAAGCAGUGGGAGCACGCUUAGGCGUGUGACUGCGUACCUUUUGUAUAAUGGGUCAGCGACUUAUAUUCUGUAGCAAGGUUAACCGAAUAGGGGAGCCGAAGGGAAACCGAGUCUUAACUGGGCGUUAAGUUGCAGGGUAUAGACCCGAAACCCGGUGAUCUAGCCAUGGGCAGGUUGAAGGUUGGGUAACACUAACUGGAGGACCGAACCGACUAAUGUUGAAAAAUUAGCGGAUGACUUGUGGCUGGGGGUGAAAGGCCAAUCAAACCGGGAGAUAGCUGGUUCUCCCCGAAAGCUAUUUAGGUAGCGCCUCGUGAAUUCAUCUCCGGGGGUAGAGCACUGUUUCGGCAAGGGGGUCAUCCCGACUUACCAACCCGAUGCAAACUGCGAAUACCGGAGAAUGUUAUCACGGGAGACACACGGCGGGUGCUAACGUCCGUCGUGAAGAGGGAAACAACCCAGACCGCCAGCUAAGGUCCCAAAGUCAUGGUUAAGUGGGAAACGAUGUGGGAAGGCCCAGACAGCCAGGAUGUUGGCUUAGAAGCAGCCAUCAUUUAAAGAAAGCGUAAUAGCUCACUGGUCGAGUCGGCCUGCGCGGAAGAUGUAACGGGGCUAAACCAUGCACCGAAGCUGCGGCAGCGACGCUGAUGCGUUGUUGGGUAGGGGAGCGUUCUGUAAGCCUGC